GGAGAGGUGACCGAGUGGUUGAUGGUACUUGUCUUGAAAACAAGCGUGGGGCGACCUACCGCGAGUUCGAAUCUCGCCCUCUCCGCCA
RNAcentral lists this transfer RNA (88 nucleotides) under Candidatus Saccharimonadota bacterium. RNAcentral describes it as "tRNA-Ser". It matches the Rfam family "tRNA". Rfam says of the family: Transfer RNA (tRNA) molecules are approximately 80 nucleotides in length. Their secondary structure includes four short double-helical elements and three loops (D, anti-codon, and T loops). The record is from RNAcentral. Lineage: Bacteria; Candidatus Saccharimonadota. RNAcentral also lists the same sequence under 1 other name.